RNAcentral lists this ribosomal RNA (253 nucleotides) under uncultured bacterium. RNAcentral's name for it is "partial 16S ribosomal RNA". It matches the Rfam family "Bacterial small subunit ribosomal RNA", at positions 524 to 776 of the family's 1533-position model. The record is from RNAcentral.
UACGUAGGGUGCAAGCGUUGUCCGGAAUCAUUGGGCGUAAAGAGCGCGUAGGCGGCCUGGUAGGUCUGGUGUGAAAACUCGAGGCUUAACCUCGAGAUGUCAUCGGAAACCAUCUGGCUAGAGUCCGGAAGAGGAGAGUGGAAUUCCUGGUGUAGCGGUGAAAUGCGCAGAUAUCAGGAAGAACACCAAUGGCGAAAGCAGCUCUCUGGGACGGUACUGACGCUGAGACGCGAAAGCGUGGGGAGCGAACAGG